RNAcentral lists this ribosomal RNA (478 nucleotides) under uncultured bacterium. RNAcentral's name for it is "partial 16S ribosomal RNA". It matches the Rfam family "Bacterial small subunit ribosomal RNA", at positions 28 to 523 of the family's 1533-position model. The record is from RNAcentral.
GACGAACGCUGGCGGCGUGCUUAACACAUGCAAGUCGAACGAUGAACCCGGAGCUUGCUCCGGUGGAUUAGUGGCGAACGGGUGAGUAACACGUGAGUAACCUGCCCUUGACUCUGGGAUAACUGCGGGAAACUGUAGCUAAUACCGGAUACGACCCUCGGCGGCAUCGCCAGGGGGUGGAAAGAAUUUCGGUCAAGGAUGGACUCGCGGCCUAUCAGCUAGUUGGUGAGGAAUGGCUCACCAAGGCGACGAUCUUUAGCUGGUUUGAGAGGAUGAUCAGCCACACUGGAACUGAGACACGGUCCAGACUCCUACGGGAGGCAGCAGCAAGGAGUCUUCCACAAUGGGCGAAAGCCUGAUGGAGCAACGCCGCGUGCAGGAUGAAUGCCUUCGGGUUGUAAACUGCUUUUAUGUGCAAAGAAUAUGACGGUAACACAUGAAUAAGGAUCGGCUAACUCCGUGCCAGCCGCCGCGGUAA